GUCUAUGGCCAUGCCACCCUGAACAAGCCCAAUCCCGUCUGAUCUCAGAAGCUAAGCAGGGUCAGGCCUGGUUAGUACUUGGAUGGGAGACUACCUAGGAAGACUAGGUGCUGUAGGCA
This 119-nucleotide ribosomal RNA is filed under the name Pteropus alecto (black flying fox). The record is from RNAcentral. Lineage: Eukaryota; Metazoa; Chordata; Mammalia; Chiroptera; Pteropodidae.